This is a long non-coding RNA of Sceloporus undulatus (fence lizard), 327 nucleotides long. RefSeq lists it as uncharacterized. The record is from RefSeq and is a predicted model, not a curated record. The transcript is spliced from 2 exons. Lineage: Eukaryota; Metazoa; Chordata; Lepidosauria; Squamata; Phrynosomatidae.
GCAGCCCUAUAAAAGGGGCAGCCGGUAGCCUUGAGCAGCCAGAGCUGAGCAUGGAGUGAGCCAGCCAGCCAAGGACUGAACCUCUACAUCACUGCAUCUCUCUUUCUCCUCCUGAGCCAUCUUUCCCUCCCACCAAGGUCUUGAGGAGGACUUCUGCAGCCAUGGCCACCUCUGCAAGUUCCCACUUGAGCAAGGCUAUAAAACACAUGUACAUGAAGCUGCCUCAGGGAGACAAGGUGCAAGCUAUGUACAUCUGGAUAGAUGGGACUGGCGAGUUUCUGCGUUGUAAAACCCGGACACUGGAUCAUGAGCCCAAGAACCUUGAAG